Molecule: ribosomal RNA, 1358 nt
Filed under: Campylobacter jejuni
Lineage: Bacteria; Pseudomonadati; Campylobacterota; Epsilonproteobacteria; Campylobacterales; Campylobacteraceae
Description: partial 23S ribosomal RNA
Rfam family: Bacterial large subunit ribosomal RNA
Source: RNAcentral
AAGUCUUCGGAUGGAUAGAAGAACCCCUGAUGCCGUCGAGCCAAGAAAAGUUUCUAAGUUUAGCUAAUGUUGCCCGUACCGUAAACCGACACAGGUGGGUGGGAUGAGUAUUCUAAGGCGCGUGGAAGAACUCUCUUUAAGGAACUCUGCAAAAUAGCACCGUAUCUUCGGUAUAAGGUGUGGUUAGCUUCGUACUAGGAUUUACUCCGAAAGCGAAGAAACUUACAACAAAGAGUCCCUCCCGACUGUUUACCAAAAACACAGCACUCUGCUAACUCGUAAGAGGAUGUAUAGGGUGUGACGCCUGCCCGGUGCUCGAAGGUUAAUUGAUGGGGUUAGCAUUAGCGAAGCUCUUGAUCGAAGCCCGAGUAAACGGCGGCCGUAACUAUAACGGUCCUAAGGUAGCGAAAUUCCUUGUCGGUUAAAUACCGACCUGCAUGAAUGGCGUAACGAGAUGGGAGCUGUCUCAAAGAGGGAUCCAGUGAAAUUGUAGUGGAGGUGAAAAUUCCUCCUACCCGCGGCAAGACGGAAAGACCCCGUGGACCUUUACUACAGCUUGACACUGCUACUUGGAUAAGAAUGUGCAGGAUAGGUGGGAGGCUUUGAGUAUAUGACGCCAGUUGUAUAUGAGCCAUUGUUGAGAUACCACUCUUUCUUAUUUGGGUAGCUAACCAGCUUGAGUUAUCCUCAAGUGGGACAAUGUCUGGUGGGUAGUUUGACUGGGGCGGUCGCCUCCCAAAUAAUAACGGAGGCUUACAAAGGUUGGCUCAGAACGGUUGGAAAUCGUUCGUAGAGUAUAAAGGUAUAAGCCAGCUUAACUGCAAGACAUACAAGUCAAGCAGAGACGAAAGUCGGUCUUAGUGAUCCGGUGGUUCUGUGUGGAAGGGCCAUCGCUCAAAGGAUAAAAGGUACCCCGGGGAUAACAGGCUGAUCUCCCCCAAGAGCUCACAUCGACGGGGAGGUUUGGCACCUCGAUGUCGGCUCAUCGCAUCCUGGGGCUGGAGCAGGUCCCAAGGGUAUGGCUGUUCGCCAUUUAAAGCGGUACGCGAGCUGGGUUCAGAACGUCGUGAGACAGUUCGGUCCCUAUCUGCCGUGGGCGUAAGAAGAUUGAAGAGAUUUGACCCUAGUACGAGAGGACCGGGUUGAACAAACCACUGGUGUAGCUGUUGUUCUGCCAAGAGCAUCGCAGCGUAGCUAAGUUUGGAAAGGAUAAACGCUGAAAGCAUCUAAGCGUGAAGCCAACUCUAAGAUGAAUCUUCUCUAAGCUCUCUAGAAGACUACUAGUUUGAUAGGCUGGGUGUGUAAUGGAUGAAAGUCCUUUAGCUGACCAGUACUAAUAGAGCGUUUGGCUUAUCUUU